GUCCAACGGGUCAAAAGCAGUUAGGUGCCCUACUCCCAUUGGUUGCUGCAGAUCAUUCACUCAGCUUUCAGAUCCCUGGGAUUGUUAACGGCUGCACAGGAGAAGCCACUUAAAGUGCAGAUAGAAGGUAAGGAAGACAAAAUAUCACAGGAGAGAAGAUCUUAAGGGAGAUGAAGGACAUACAUUUGAGAGCUGAACUUCGCAAUCUCAUCAUCAGUCCCACAGAAAGGAAGUUCUGAUAAUGGACUGCAGGAUUUGGUCUUGUGAAUGGUUCAGCACACAGCAGAGCAAGCACAGUAUGACCCACUUCGAAACUCCAUCCCCGCUUUUCAGCAUUGUGACAUGGUCUUUCCCCAGGCGAAAGCUACGCACUGGAGCGCCACACGCUAUGUUUGCAUCUAUCACCUCUAAAUAUAAUCAGCCAGCGCUUCUACUGGUGCACUUCAAAGUGGGUAUCAUUCAGUUCUGUGAGGGCUCUUUGGGUGAAAUUCACCUCUGUGUAGAGGCCCAGCACCAGGCCCAUGGCACCACUUCAGUCUAACAUAAACCCUUUUGCACAGGGGCGCAUUUGAUCCAGUGGAACUAAGGGCUGCAGCAACAUGCCCUCUUCAUCUAAGCUGCGAAUGAGAAGUGAAGAUGAGCUCUUCUACACCAGGCGAAUAGAGAGAACCUUGGGGCACAGUUAUACACUAAUUUCAAAGACUGGCAAGUGUGUGUGGAGGGAACUAGAAAGUUUCUACUGAAGUAUAAUUAAGACUGUUUUCAAGUGCAGUUGUAACCGUAAAAUGGAAGAGUAAGGGAGUUAAAAUGGAACCAUUUACAGAGCAGUAAAAGCUCCGCUGCAUGAGGCCCUCUGUGUGUACAAAAUUAUAGGAUUGGAAACCAUUCAGCCAGUCCAGUGCCUGAGUGGCUUGAGGAUCCUAAAGUGCUUUUUAAUGUUUUCUAUAUAGAGAAGAGAACAUAAGGGAGGGAUGGGGGGGAAACACUUUGGAUGAAAUAAGCACAGAUCCCAUACACUCCUCCUUUCCUUCCAAGCCUUUUUAAAGUUUGAUUCAAACUUGGGCGGCAAAUGUGUGGCCUGCUGGCUUCCCCCUUGGGUCUAGCAGGUGCUGUUCCACCCUGAAUGAAGGCUGUCUGCAUGGCUGCCUCAGUUUACAUGCAAUUCACAUUUUCAACCGUUUCUUUGCA
Long non-coding RNA from Mauremys mutica (yellowpond turtle), 1188 nucleotides. RefSeq lists it as uncharacterized. The transcript has 3 exons. NCBI's taxonomy places the organism in Eukaryota, Metazoa, Chordata, Testudines, Geoemydidae. The record is from RefSeq and is a predicted model, not a curated record.